GCUGGCGGCAGGCCUAACACAUGCAAGUCGAGCGGUAGCACAGAGAGCUUGCUCUCGGGUGACGAGCGGCGGACGGGUGAGUAAUGUCUGGGAAACUGCCUGAUGGAGGGGGAUAACUACUGGAAACGGUAGCUAAUACCGCAUAACGUCGCAAGACCAAAGUGGGGGACCUUCGGGCCUCAUGCCAUCAGAUGUGCCCAGAUGGGAUUAGCUAGUAGGUGGGGUAAUGGCUCACCUAGGCGACGAUCCCUGGCUGGUCUGAGAGGAUGACCAGCCACACUGGAACUGAGACACGGUCCAGACUCCUACGGGAGGCAGCAGUGGGGAAUAUUGCACAAUGGGCGCAAGCCUGAUGCAGCCAUGCCGCGUGUGUGAAGAAGGCCUUCGGGUUGUAAAGCACUUUCAGCGGGGAGGAAGGCGAUAAGGUUAAUAACCUUGUCGAUUGACGUUACCCGCAGAAGAAGCACCGGCUAACUCCGUGCCAGCAGCCGCGGUAAUACGGAGGGUGCAAGCGUUAAUCGGAAUUACUGGGCGUAAAGCGCACGCAGGCGGUCUGUCAAGUCGGAUGUGAAAUCCCCGGGCUCAACCUGGGAACUGCAUUCGAAACUGGCAGGCUAGAGUCUUGUAGAGGGGGGUAGAAUUCCAGGUGUAGCGGUGAAAUGCGUAGAGAUCUGGAGGAAUACCGGUGGCGAAGGCGGCCCCCUGGACAAAGACUGACGCUCAGGUGCGAAAGCGUGGGGAGCAAACAGGAUUAGAUACCCUGGUAGUCCACGCCGUAAACGAUGUCGAUUUGGAGGUUGUGCCCUUGAGGCGUGGCUUCCGGAGCUAACGCGUUAAAUCGACCGCCUGGGGAGUACGGCCGCAAGGUUAAAACUCAAAUGAAUUGACGGGGGCCCGCACAAGCGGUGGAGCAUGUGGUUUAAUUCGAUGCAACGCGAAGAACCUUACCUGGUCUUGACAUCCACAGAACUUUCCAGAGAUGGAUUGGUGCCUUCGGGAACUGUGAGACAGGUGCUGCAUGGCUGUCGUCAGCUCGUGUUGUGAAAUGUUGGGUUAAGUCCCGCAACGAGCGCAACCCUUAUCCUUUGUUGCCAGCGGUCCGGCCGGGAACUCAAAGGAGACUGCCAGUGAUAAACUGGAGGAAGGUGGGGAUGACGUCAAGUCAUCAUGGCCCUUACGACCAGGGCUACACACGUGCUACAAUGGCAUAUACAAAGAGAAGCGACCUCGCGAGAGCAAGCGGACCUCAUAAAGUAUGUCGUAGUCCGGAUUGGAGUCUGCAACUCGACUCCAUGAAGUCGGAAUCGCUAGUAAUCGUAGAUCAGAAUGCUACGGUGAAUACGUUCCCGGGCCUUGUACACACCGCCCGUCACACCAUGGGAGUGGGUUGCAAAAGAAGUAGGUAGCUUAACCUUCGGGAGGGCGCUUACCACUUUGUGAUUCAUGACUGGGGUGAAGU
RNAcentral lists this ribosomal RNA (1459 nucleotides) under uncultured organism. Its description in RNAcentral is "SSU rRNA". It matches the Rfam family "Bacterial small subunit ribosomal RNA". The record is from RNAcentral.